GACAACGUUAGCAGUACUGACUGGCUGUAUGGGACACCAUUAGCAGAAUUUGCUGGCUGUAUGGGACAAUGUGAGCAGUAUUGGCUGGCUGUAUGGGACAACGUUAGCAGAAUUGGCUGGCUGUAUGGGACAACGUGAGCAGAAUUGGCUGACUGUAUGUAUGGGACGUGAGCAGAAUUGGCUGGCUGUAUGUAUGGGACAACGUUAGCAGAAUUGGCUGGCUGUAUGUAUGGGAAAACGUGAGCAGUAUCAGCUG
Pelobates cultripes (western spadefoot toad) is the source of this 256-nucleotide non-coding RNA. The record is from the annotation of a GenBank genome assembly. Lineage: Eukaryota; Metazoa; Chordata; Amphibia; Anura; Pelobatidae.